Molecule: ribosomal RNA, 462 nt
Filed under: uncultured bacterium
Lineage: Bacteria
Description: partial 16S ribosomal RNA
Rfam family: Bacterial small subunit ribosomal RNA
Source: RNAcentral
GACGAACGCUGGCGGCGUGCUUAACACAUGCAAGUCGAACGGAAAGGCCCUUCGGGGUACUCGAGUGGCGAACGGGUGAGUAACACGUGGGUGAUCUGCCCUGCACUUUGGGAUAAGCCUGGGAAACUGGGUCUAAUACCGAAUAGGACCACGCGCUUCAUGGUGUGUGGUGGAAAGCUUUUGCGGUGUGGGAUGGGCCCGCGGCCUAUCAGCUUGUUGGUGGGGUAAUAGCCUACCAAGGCGACGACGGGUAGCCGGCCUGAGAGGGUGACCGGCCACACUGGGACUGAGAUACGGCCCAGACUCCUACGGGAGGCAGCAGUGGGGAAUAUUGCACAAUGGGCGCAAGCCUGAUGCAGCGACGCCGCGUGAGGGAUGACGGCCUUCGGGUUGUAAACCUCUUUCACCAGGGACGAAGCGUAAGUGACGGUACCUGGAGAAGAAGCACCGGCCAACUACGUG